AUUCCUACGGGAGGCAGCAGUGGGGAAUAUUGCACAAUGGGCGCAAGCCUGAUGCAGCGACGCCSCGUGAGGGAUGAAGGCCUUCGGGUUGUAAACCUCUUUCAGCAGGGAAGAAGCAGCCGGGUUUUCUUGGUUGUGACGGUACCUGCAGAAGAGGCACCGGCUAACUACGUGCCAGCAGCCGCGGUAAUACGUAGGGUGCAAGCGUUGUCCGGAAUUAUUGGGCGUAAAGAGCUUGUAGGUGGUUUGUCGCGUCUGUUGUGAAAUUUCGGGGCUCAACCCCGAACUUGCAGUGGAUACGGGCAGACUAGAGUGUGGUAGGGGAGACUGGAAUUCCUGGUGUAGCGGUGAAAUGCGCAGAUAUCAGGAGGAACACCGAUGGCGAAGGCAGGUCUCUGGGCCAUUACUGACACUGAGAAGCGAAAGCAUGGGGAGCGAACAGGAUUAGAUACCCUGGUAGUCCAUGCCGUAAACGGUGGGGACUAGGUGUGGGUCUCAUUCCACGAGAUCCGUGCCGCAGCUAACGCAUUAAGUUCCCCGCCUGGGGAGUACGGCCGCAAGGCUAAAACUCAAAGGAAUUGACGGGGGCCCGCACAAGCGGCGGAGCAUGCGGAUUAAUUCGAUGCAACGCGAAGAACCUUACCAAGGCUUGACAUGUGCCGGUAAAGUGCAGAGAUGUGCUCCCCGCAAGGUCGGUACACAGGUGGUGCAUGGUUGUCGUCAGCUCGUGUCGUGAGAUGUUGGGUUAAGUCCCGCAACGAGCGCAACCCUCGUUCUAUGUUGCCAGCGGGUUAUGCCGGGGACUCAUAGGAGACUGCCGGGGUCAACUCGGAGGAAGGUGUGGAUGACGUCAAAUCAUCAUGCCCCUUAUGUCUUGGGCUUCACGCAUGCUACAAUGGCCAGUACAAAGGGCUGCGAUACCGCAAGGUGGAGCGAAUCCCAAAAAACUGGUCUCAGUUCGGAUUGGGGUCUGCAACUCGACCCCAUGAAGUCGGAGUCGCUAGUAAUCGCAGAUCAGCAACGCUGCGGUGAAUACGUUCCCGGGCCUUGUACACAC
Molecule: ribosomal RNA, 1057 nt
Filed under: uncultured Ornithinicoccus sp.
Lineage: Bacteria; Bacillati; Actinomycetota; Actinomycetes; Micrococcales; Intrasporangiaceae
Description: bacterial SSU rRNA
Rfam family: Bacterial small subunit ribosomal RNA
Source: RNAcentral